RNAcentral lists this ribosomal RNA (367 nucleotides) under uncultured Thermovirga sp. Its description in RNAcentral is "bacterial SSU rRNA". It matches the Rfam family "Bacterial small subunit ribosomal RNA", at positions 1019 to 1382 of the family's 1533-position model. The record is from RNAcentral. Lineage: Bacteria; Thermotogati; Synergistota; Synergistia; Synergistales; Thermovirgaceae.
GGAGUGAGAGCGUACACAGGUGCUGCAUGGCUGUCGUCAGCUCGUGUCGUGGGAGUGUUGGGUUAAGUCCCGCAACGAGCGCAACCCCUGCAUUCAGUUGCCAUCGGUAAGGCCAGGCACUCUGGAUGGACUGCCGGCGACAAGCCGGAGGAAGGUGGGGGACGACGUCAAGUCAUCAUGGCCCUUAUGUCCAGGGCGACACACGUGCUACAAUGGCCGGCACAACGGGAAGCGAAGGGGCGACCCUGAGCGGAUCCCACAAAAGCCGGUCUCAGUUCGGAUUGCAGUCUGCAACUCGACUGCAUGAAGUUGGAAUCGCUAGUAAUCGUGGAUCAGCCAAGCCGCGGUGAAUACGUUCCCGGGCCUU